Molecule: long non-coding RNA, 538 nt
Organism: Mustela lutreola (European mink)
Lineage: Eukaryota; Metazoa; Chordata; Mammalia; Carnivora; Mustelidae
Exons: 5
Source: RefSeq, a predicted model, not a curated record
CAGGCUGAGGAUAUUUAAACCGAACAGUUCAAGUAUGAUAUCAUAUCAAGUAUGAUAGUCACAGAGUUGGACUGAAUCACAGUUUUUGAAGAUUAUAGUACUUCUUGAAGCCAUCAGGAGGAAGCUUUCGUAUUAAGUUCCACUGAAGCGACCUGGAAUAAAUGUUGACCACUGUGGGAUAAACACUUGGAGAUGCUUGACGGGCAAAAAGGACUCGGUUACAACAGCAUCAUACAGUAGAGAAGAUUAAGACUCCAAUCACUAUAGCACAAGGAAGGAUGAUGUGCUUCAAAGAGACACGAGUGGGGUUCUAUGAGAGAAUCCAGGAAGAAGAGGCGAAUUGCACGUGAGUGGAAAGGUUACACUGGAGGGAAGCCUACAGUUCCUUUCUCUGUGGAAUCGAAUGAAGACUGGGGCGAGUUGUGAUGCUGAGCUGGAGUUAACGUUUACUGCAGAGUAAAGUAGAAAUGGACAGCUUCAAUCAAGCUGCUCAAACCAAAGCACACGAAAUUGCUAUUUUUUAACAAAAAAUAAAGUG